Molecule: ribosomal RNA, 253 nt
Filed under: uncultured bacterium
Lineage: Bacteria
Description: partial 16S ribosomal RNA
Rfam family: Bacterial small subunit ribosomal RNA
Source: RNAcentral
UACAGAGGUCUCAAGCGUUGUUCGGAAUUACUGGGCGUAAAGGGCUCGUAGGCGGCCAACUAAGUCGGAUGUGAAAUCCCUCGGCUUAACCGGGGAACUGCGUCUGAUACUGGAUGGCUUGAGGUUGGGAGAGGGAUGCGGAAUUCCCGGUGUAGCGGUGAAAUGCGCAGAUAUCGGGAAGAACACCCGUGGCGAAGGCGGUUCUCUGGGACGGUACUGACGCUGAGACGCGAAAGCGUGGGGAGCGAACAGG